AUACGUAGGUGGCAAGCGUUGUCCGGAAUUAUUGGGCGUAAAGCGCGCGCAGGUGGUUCCUUAAGUCUGAUGUGAAAGCCCCCGGCUCAACCGGGGAGGGUCAUUGGAAACUGGGGAACUUGAGUGCAGAAGAGGAUAGUGGAAUUCCAAGUGUAGCGGUGAAAUGCGUAGAGAUUUGGAGGAACACCAGUGGCGAAGGCGAUUGUCUUGUCUGUAACUGACACUUAGGCGCGAAAGCGUGAGGAGCAAACAGGAUUAGAUACCCUGGUAGUCCACGCCGUAAACGAUGAGUGCUAAGUGUUAGGGGGUGUCCGCCCCUUAGUGCUGCAGCUAACGCAUUAAGCACUCCGCCUGGGGAGUACGGUCGCAAGACUGAAACUCAAAGGAAUUGACGGG
RNAcentral lists this ribosomal RNA (396 nucleotides) under uncultured bacterium. Its description in RNAcentral is "partial 16S ribosomal RNA". It matches the Rfam family "Bacterial small subunit ribosomal RNA", at positions 523 to 917 of the family's 1533-position model. The record is from RNAcentral.